AAGCAAAGUGGCGCCUACCUUCCUGGUUAGUGGUAAACAUGUGUUUCAAACUCCAGUGGGAGCCAACCUCUGUUAGCAGAAGCUAUUGGCUACUAAGGCAGAAUCACAAAGCAAUAAGAGAAGAGAGGCAUCCUGUUGUUAUGGGGAGAACAUAUUCAUGAGCAUCUACGUGGGGGCUGUCUGCGAUGGCGGAUGAGGGAAGAUGGCCUUGCGACUUACUCACUCUGUUGGUUGCCUUUGCUGCUGACACCCAUCAGCUGCACUCUGCUUGCUCAUAGAACCCUGGUUUGGUUCAGGUCCCCGUGUGAGGACACAAUGCUGGGACUGCAGCUGCUAUCUAGACACCAUGAGGACAAACGCCUGCAAGCUGAGGAUAGUAGAGAGAGAAAAUGGAAAGAACCUGGGUCCUCGAUGACAUUUUUGAGCCACUCAUUUAAGUAACCUUGGAAUGUCUCUGCUUUGGAAGCUCUUAUUGUGAGAGAAUAAUUUGUCCCUGUUGCUCGAGGCCACCCUGUUUGGGUUUGCUGUUACAAAAGCCUG
RNAcentral lists this long non-coding RNA (540 nucleotides) under Equus caballus (horse). Its description in RNAcentral is "lncRNA (ENSECAG00000044511.1)". Lineage: Eukaryota; Metazoa; Chordata; Mammalia; Perissodactyla; Equidae. The record is from RNAcentral.